This 90-nucleotide transfer RNA is filed under the name marine eukaryotic metagenome. It matches the Rfam family "tRNA". Rfam says of the family: Transfer RNA (tRNA) molecules are approximately 80 nucleotides in length. The record is from RNAcentral.
GAGAGAUGGCCGAGUUGGCUGAAGGCGCUCGCCUGCUAAGCGAGUAUACGGGUAAAAGCUCGUAUCGCGGGUUCGAAUCCCGCUCUCUCC